CACAUACUCGCUCCAUUCGGAAUUACUCGUCCAAGAAAUGAAUGUAUCUAGAUGUAUUUUAGUGUAGAUACAUCCAUUUUCAUUCAUUUUUGUGACAAGUAAUUCCGAACGGAUGGAGUAAUAU
Non-coding RNA from Triticum aestivum (bread wheat), 124 nucleotides. NCBI's taxonomy places the organism in Eukaryota, Viridiplantae, Streptophyta, Magnoliopsida, Poales, Poaceae. The record is from Rfam.